AACAAUACGGUUAACCGACGGU
This 22-nucleotide small nuclear RNA is filed under the name Arabidopsis thaliana (thale cress). RNAcentral describes it as "snRNA_14413". The record is from RNAcentral. Lineage: Eukaryota; Viridiplantae; Streptophyta; Magnoliopsida; Brassicales; Brassicaceae.